AAUCUAUCUUUUUUUUUUUUUGUUCUUUGUCUAUCGUAUCGUCUCCGUACAAAAAUUCUCCCAUGUUUGAUUUCGGUUCUCGUAUUUAUAAUAGGAGGGGUGAUGAGAGAUAUUUUGAGAAAUUCGAAAUUCGAAUUUGAAUUUUGAAUAGGUUGUUGGAUAGUUGGAGGAUUUUUGGGAAUUGGUUGAAGAUUCGAAAUUCGAAAUCGAAUUUUGAAUCGGUUGUUGGAUGGUUGGAAUUGGUUGGGAAUUCGAAAUUCGAAAUCGAAUUUUAAAUCAGUUAUUGGAUGGUUUGAGGAUUUUUGGGAAUUGGUUAGGGAUUCGAAAUUCGAAAUCGAAUUUUGAAUCGGUUGUUGGAGGAUAUUUUGAAAAUUAAUUGGAAAUUCGAAAUUCGAAAUUGAAUUUUGAAUGGGUUGUUGGAUGGUUAGGUAUUCAAAAUUCGAAUGAGAGAUAUUUUGGGUGUUCGUUCGAAAUUCGAAAUCGAAUUUCGAAUCGAAUUUGAAUAUGGUAUUCGAGAUUGAAAUUUUAAAUGUGGGUGAAAAUGUGGGCCGUUAUUUCAUGAAUUGGGCUGAAAUUGGGCCCACUUUGUUGAUGAAACUUGUUGGGCAUGAAUAUUUAUUGGGCUGAGAUGAGGCCCGAAUUUUUGUAUAGGCCUAAAAUCUUACAGGGCUUUCAUGAGGCCCAUUAAUUCACAGUUAUGAAUGGGCCUAUUGUGGAU
RNAcentral lists this long non-coding RNA (718 nucleotides) under Ananas comosus (pineapple). RNAcentral's name for it is "long non-coding RNA (ACOM_LNC005603)". Lineage: Eukaryota; Viridiplantae; Streptophyta; Magnoliopsida; Poales; Bromeliaceae. The record is from RNAcentral.